Molecule: transfer RNA, 76 nt
Filed under: Streptomyces sp. PVA_94-07
Lineage: Bacteria; Bacillati; Actinomycetota; Actinomycetes; Kitasatosporales; Streptomycetaceae
Source: RNAcentral
AGUCGCGCCUCGGGGCCUCGGGGCCGGGCUCCUGUCGGGCUGGAGAGGUCGAAAGCCGGAGAGCGCUGAAGGCUGA